CGGAGGAAAAGAAACUAACAAGGAUUCCCCUAGUAACGGCGAGUGAAGCGGGAAGAGCUCAAAUUUGUAAUCUGGUACCUUUGGUAUCCGAGUUGUAAUCUCGAGAAGUGUUUUCCGCGCCGGACCGCAUACAAGUCUGUUGGAAUACAGCGUCAUAGUGGUGAGAGCCCCGUAACUGAUGCGGAUGCCCGGUGCUUUGUGAUACACUUUCGAAGAGUCGAGUUGUUUGGGAAUGCAGCUCAAAUUGGGUGGUAAAUUCCAUCUAAAGCUAAAUAUUGGCGAGAGACCGAUAGCGAACAAGUACCGUGAGGGAAAGAUGAAAAGCACUUUGGAAAGAGAGUUAACAGUACGUGAAAUUGUUGGAAGGGAAACGCUUGAAGUCAGACUUGCUAUUUGGAAUUCAGCCGCAAGGUGUACUUUUCAAUUUGCAGGCCAGCAUCAGUUUUCGGGGGUGGAAAAGGGUUAGGAGAAGGUAGCAGUUUCGGCUGUGUUAUAGCUCCUGGCUGGAUUCAUCUUUGGGGACUGAGGAACGCAGUGUGCCGCAAGGCAAGACCCUCGGGUCUUUCACACUUAGGAUGCUGGUGGAAUGGCUUUAAACGACCCGUCUUGAAACACGGACC
RNAcentral lists this ribosomal RNA (620 nucleotides) under Basidiomycota sp. GU31. RNAcentral describes it as "eukaryotic LSU rRNA". It matches the Rfam family "Eukaryotic large subunit ribosomal RNA", at positions 51 to 667 of the family's 3401-position model. Lineage: Eukaryota; Fungi; Basidiomycota. The record is from RNAcentral.